GGGCAGGCGUUGUAGGGUGCUAAUACCUUCCGUACACGUAACCGACUCUCGAACCCAAUCUUUGGUUUUCGUGGACCGUGCCUCUUCUUUAUGGUUUUGUCCAUAGUUUUCCAGAAUAAUCUAUGGUGGCGACUCUAAAAACUUUUUCAACAUCGUUUUCUUUUUGGAUGUCGUCCCGUCGCGAUUCCGGUUGCCACAGAUACGCC
This 206-nucleotide long non-coding RNA is filed under the name Vigna radiata. Its description in RNAcentral is "long non-coding RNA (VRAD_LNC016663)". The record is from RNAcentral. Lineage: Eukaryota; Viridiplantae; Streptophyta; Magnoliopsida; Fabales; Fabaceae.